Meriones unguiculatus (Mongolian gerbil) is the source of this 1181-nucleotide long non-coding RNA. RefSeq lists it as uncharacterized. The record is from RefSeq and is a predicted model, not a curated record. NCBI's taxonomy places the organism in Eukaryota, Metazoa, Chordata, Mammalia, Rodentia, Muridae. The transcript is spliced from 3 exons.
UUGUUUGUAUGAGCAUCUGGGUAACCUUGGAGACCCGAAGAGGGCAUUGGAUUCCCUGGAGCUGGAGAGAUAGGAGCUGUGACCCUUCAGAUGUGGAUGCUGGGAACUGAACACCUCUACAACAGGAGCAAGAGCGGAGUCAUGGCUGCCGCCCUGAGACUGAUCGCUUCAGGGGCGAAUGGAAACUUUUGAAGCCAGCGAUGACCUUGAAUGCCUCUACCUGUCUAGAGCUGAGAGUACAGUCGCUUAGAGCAGCACAAACAAGGAAUCAUUUAUAGAAGUAUGGACAUCUUACCAGUGGUCACUCUCGUGAAGGAAACGUUUUUACUUCCCUCCGCACUUGUUAACUGCUUAUACCGUCUUCAGGAAGAAGGGGAACUUGAUGAGUCCCUCCAACAUCCACGAUGAAAUAUCAGCAGGCCAAACCUGGUGUAGUUCUUGUGCAGCUGAGCACCAUGACUGAGCGCUGAAGAGCAUAAUGGCCAUGUUUCAUACAGAGGACAAAGAACGUCUACACCAUUCUUCGCUUUCCUAAGGCACUUACAUUCUUUCUGCCUCCCAUCUACUGCUUGUUCCCUGAGUCUUGAAGGAAGUUAUGUAGGAUGUCCAAUUUAAGAGAAUUUUAUUCUAUUGUUUUGGGUGUGUCCGUGCAUGAGCACGUAUGUCUGCCAGUGCCAGAGGAGGCCAGAAGAGGACAGCAGAUUCCCUGGUAGCUGGAGUUCCAGACAAUUAUAAGCUCCCGACAUGGAUGCUGGGACCCGAACUCUGGUUCUCUAUAAGAGCAGCAAGUGCCUUGCCCGUUGUGUGUCUCAUUUAGAACUGUGCACUUAUUCAACAGUCACUUAUUUGACCCCUUAUGAGUCUCUGCAGCAAUCACCACUCAUACAGAAAGAAGUGUGUGCUACUAAAGCUAAUAGAAUUGAUGAGUAUUUCUUAAAAACUUUUAGAAGAUUCUAAUGCAUAUCUUGGGCUGAGAGUGACCAAACUUAUGACUAAUAAAAUGUACCAGGAAGGAAAUCCCUGCUCAAGAUUAUUAUUGUUUCUGUCGACCCCAAGGUCUCUACUUUUGGGUAUUGUUUUUUGUUUAUGAAACUGGAUUAAAGGGUGUUUUAGGGUUCCUUCAGUUCUCACACGCUGCACGUCUGUGACUCAGGGAAGCGUGGAGCACAUCCUGUGAACCA